GGUAGUCCACGCCGUAAACGAUGGAUACUAGGUGUGGCAGAUCGUCAACGACUGCCGUGCCGAAGCUAACGCAUUAAGUAUCCCGCCUGGGGAGUACGGCCGCAAGGCUAAAACUCAAAGGAAUUGACGGGUCCCCGCACAAGCGGCGGAGCAUGCGGCUUAAUUCGAUGCAACCCGAAGAACCUUACCUGGCCUUGACAUAAUGGGUCUACCCUUGGAAACAAGGGGUGCUUUGCGCUCAUUACAGGUGGUGCAUGGCUGUCGUCAGCUCGUGUCGUGAGAUGUUGGGUUAAGGCCCGCAACGAGCGCAACCCCUAUCCUAUGUUGCCAGCGCGUUAUGGCGGGGACUCAUGGGAAACUGCCGGGGACAACUCGGAGGAAGGUGGGGACGACGUCAAGUCAUCAUGCCCCUUAUGGCCAGGGCUGCACGCAUGCUACAAUGGCAAGUACAAUGGGCUGCCACCCAGCGAUGGGGAGCGAAUCCCAAAAGCUUGCCUCAGUUCGGAUCGAAGUCUGCAACUCGACUUCGUGAAGUCGGAGUCGCUAGUAAUCGCGGAUCAGCAAAGCCGCGGUGAAUGCGUUCUGGGGGAUUGUACACACCGCCCGUCACGUCACGGAAGUCGGCAACACCCGAAGCCAGUGGUCCAACCGCAAGGAGGAAGC
Molecule: ribosomal RNA, 663 nt
Filed under: uncultured Actinomycetes bacterium
Lineage: Bacteria; Bacillati; Actinomycetota; Actinomycetes
Description: bacterial SSU rRNA
Rfam family: Bacterial small subunit ribosomal RNA
Source: RNAcentral